AUCUUGAAUCUUUCAACUACUACCAGAAUGCACCGCGCGGAGAAGCGACGGAAUCAUGAGCUCGUGCGCGCUUGGGAAACUUCGGAUGAUCCGGGAUCAGAUUUGGCAUUUGCGCACAACCGACGGAACAAGCAAAACAAGAGCCCCUAUAACGAUCUCAGAUGAGCUCAUACUACACCGCCAACAUGCUUCCCAGACCGAGAACCGAUAAAACAAAAGGGGUCCUGCACGCUCCCAUGGUUUGCUGGAAAUUACAAGACCAGACUUGCUUCCCCUUCAGCGAUUUCAGAGCCUACUCACACUAUGCUAUCCGAACCAUGCCCAGGCCCGUUUCCCGGAUCGUUUGAGAAGUGUGAGUGCUCUGAAUCGGGCUCAGGAAUGGUUCACUUGGCCGGGCCUGACCCGGUUGGAAGAGGUGUCCCAGAGCCCGGUUCACUUGGCGCGCCAAAACCCGAAACUGAAAGCGAGACGUGACUUUAAGGGACCGUUUCAUAUGCUUUUAUUAAUCAUUCUUACUGUUCAAUGAACGCAAACUGUCGUAGUUUAUUAAAGACGCAAACCUCUCACUGCACGAAAGCUCCGCACCUUCAGCAAUCCUCCUAAUUCCUGCAGCACGAGGACUUUACGAUUGUUUAUGAGCGUCAAAAGUGGCUGAUCUGUUCGGCGAAAUUAUUGACUGCGUGUCGCUGCAUAUCAAAUGACUAAAAGACAUCUAAUUGAAAUCCAAACAUAAAUCUUUGCUAACACAAGGCUAAAUUUGGUCAGAAAAUCUAAUAGAUGCAAGUAAUUUAUGAUAUAAAAAAACCCACAAUAUUUUUUAUAUUUGCUUCGAGUUUAUCAGGAAGUGACGAUUUUGUUUUCUUUGACUUAU
Molecule: long non-coding RNA, 871 nt
Organism: Danio aesculapii
Lineage: Eukaryota; Metazoa; Chordata; Actinopteri; Cypriniformes; Danionidae
Exons: 3
Source: RefSeq, a predicted model, not a curated record